CAAAUUGCUUUAAAUUCCAUUUCUCCAUUUGUUUUCGUAAAAAUAUCAACUUACAGGUCGAAGAUCGACACAAUCGAGAAAUAACCUGCCUGCAACAAUUGCAGGUAGAUCGGAAACGCGUUGCUCGACAAUUCCCUCGGACAAUAAGCAUGAAAUAACAUUUAACUAGCCGUGGUGGCUUGACCGACAAAUUACGCGGAAUAAUCGAGGAAAAGAGACUAAAUCAUCGGUAUAGUGGAGGGGACAUUGAAGAGUCCAGUCAAAGAG
RNAcentral lists this unclassified non-coding RNA (267 nucleotides) under Bombus terrestris (buff-tailed bumblebee). RNAcentral describes it as "misc RNA ENSBTSG00005028711.1". Lineage: Eukaryota; Metazoa; Arthropoda; Insecta; Hymenoptera; Apidae. The record is from RNAcentral.